UUGAAGAAUUUGAAGACUUCAACUUGCAGACUUGAAGAAUUUAAAGACUUCAACUUGCAUAAUUGGAGAUUUUGAAGACUUCAUCU
Non-coding RNA from Solanum tuberosum (potato), 86 nucleotides. The record is from Rfam. Lineage: Eukaryota; Viridiplantae; Streptophyta; Magnoliopsida; Solanales; Solanaceae.